RNAcentral lists this ribosomal RNA (537 nucleotides) under uncultured rumen bacterium. RNAcentral describes it as "bacterial SSU rRNA". It matches the Rfam family "Bacterial small subunit ribosomal RNA", at positions 921 to 1482 of the family's 1533-position model. The record is from RNAcentral.
CCGCACAGCGGUGAGCAUGUGUUAUCGACGAUACGCGAAGACUUACAGGUCUUGACAUCCUGAUGUUAGCUAUAGAGAUAUAGUGAGAUUGUCGGAGACAGGUGGUGCAUGGUUGUCGUCAGCUCGUGCCGUGAGGUGUCGGCUUAAGAGCCAUAACGAGCGCAACCCCUUUCGUUAGUUGCCAUCAGGUGAUGCUGGGCACUCUGGCGAUACUGCCACCGUAAGGUGUGAGGAAGGUGGGGAUGACGUCAAAUCAGCACGGCCCUUACGUCCGGGGCUACACACGUGUUACAAUGGCGCAUACAGAGAGUUGGUUGCACGCAAGUGUGAUCUAAUCAAUAAAGUGCGUCGUAGUUCGGACUGGGGUCUGCAACCCGACCCCACGAAGCUGGAUUCGCUAGUAAUCGCGCAUCAGCCAUGGCGCGGUGAAUACGUUCCCGGGCCUUGUACACACCGCCCGUCAAGCCAUGAAAGCCGGGGGCACCUGAAGUCUGUGACCGCGAGGGGCGGCCUAAGGUGAAACUGGUAAUUGGGGCU